CAAAAUUGGUUUUAACUCUAGUGUUAGAAAAGGAACAGUGAUAUUGUUUGAAUAAAAACACUAUUUCAUUUUGA
This 74-nucleotide transfer RNA is filed under the name Xiphinema pachtaicum. RNAcentral's name for it is "tRNA-Ile". Lineage: Eukaryota; Metazoa; Nematoda; Enoplea; Dorylaimida; Longidoridae. The record is from RNAcentral.